CGAUGGGUCUUCCGCAAUCGGCGGCUGUGAACCAUGUCAGGCGGGGAACCGAGCAGCAUUAAGCGGUUUGUCCGAUGUGCCGGAAGGGCGCCUGUCCGGA
RNAcentral lists this signal recognition particle RNA (100 nucleotides) under Clostridia bacterium. RNAcentral describes it as "signal recognition particle sRNA small type". It matches the Rfam family "Bacterial small signal recognition particle RNA". Rfam says of the family: The signal recognition particle (SRP) is a universally conserved ribonucleoprotein involved in the co-translational targeting of proteins to membranes. Lineage: Bacteria; Bacillati; Bacillota; Clostridia. The record is from RNAcentral.